This 102-nucleotide microRNA precursor is filed under the name Octodon degus (degu). Its description in RNAcentral is "microRNA 708 (ENSODEG00000022403.1)". The stretch from base 13 to 100 matches the Rfam family "mir-708 microRNA precursor family". The record is from RNAcentral. Lineage: Eukaryota; Metazoa; Chordata; Mammalia; Rodentia; Octodontidae.
GUGUGAAAUGGGCACUGCCCUCAAGGAGCUUACAAUCUAGCUGGGGGUAGAUGACUGGCUCGUGAACACAACUAGACUGUGAGCUUCUAGAGGGCAGGGACC